RNAcentral lists this ribosomal RNA (1382 nucleotides) under Viviparus viviparus. RNAcentral describes it as "16S ribosomal RNA". The stretch from base 930 to 1289 matches the Rfam family "Bacterial large subunit ribosomal RNA", at positions 2072 to 2648 of the family's 2925-position model. Lineage: Eukaryota; Metazoa; Mollusca; Gastropoda; Architaenioglossa; Viviparidae. The record is from RNAcentral.
AAAGGAUAUUUAGUUGAUUAGAUUAUCUUUAAAUAAAUUUUGCACAUAAAAUGAUUGUUAUAUACUAUAAAAAUAUUUAUAUAUUUAGUAAUGUGAAUAAAAGAUUUAAGCAUAAAUGUUAAGUACUGUAAAGGAAUAUUUAUAAAUUUAAUAAAAGCAGUUAUAUAAAAUGUACCUUUUGUAUCAUGGUUUAGCAAGAUUUAAUUAUUAAAUUAUUAUUCUCGAAACUUAAUGAGUUAUUACCGUUUAUUUUUGGAAUUUAUCUAUGUAAAUGUGGCAUAAUUUUUGGAAAAAAUUGUAAUGGAAAUUAUAUUUUAUUCGUAUUAAGUGAUGGCUAGUUUUUAUGGAGAUACAUAUAAGUGUAGAUUUAUAUAAUGACUAAUAAAAAUUUGUUGCUUUAGUUUUAUAUAAAAUUGAGAUAAUUAAGGCUAAUCUUAAUUAAUUUAAGAAAAUUAGUAUGUGUAGAUAUAAUAAUAUGUAAGCUUGUAAUUAGCUACUAUAUUUAACUUGUUAUAAAAUAUUUUAAAAUGACUAAAGAUUUAUAUACUAGUUUAUCUUAUAUAUACAUAAAUAUAUAGUGAAACUGUUACACUAUAGUGUUUAUGCUAAAAUGAGUAUUUUUAAUAAUUUUUUUAAAAAAUAAUAGAACUUUUAAUGUUUAUUUUUAUUUUAUUAUGACAUAUAAGUAAGGAACUCGGCAAAAUAACUUAUUUCGCCUGUUUAUCAAAAACAUGUCUUUUUGUAAAAAAAAAAUAAAAAGUCCGACCUGCCCAGUGAAUUAUUUAAACGGCCGCGGUACCUUGACCGUGCGAAGGUAGCAUAAUCAAUUGUCUUAUAAUUAAAGACUGGAAUGAAUGGUUAAACGAAAUUAAGGCUGUCUCAUUUAUAUUGUUUAAAAAUUGGCUUUUAAAUGAAGAGAUUUAAAUUUAAUUAAAAGACAAGAAGACCCUAUUGAGCUUUAAAUGAUUUUAAGGCUAUAACUAUUAUUGAAGAUUUAAAUCUGGAAGAUUUUUUAGUUGGGGCGACUAAGGAACAAAUAGAGCUUCCUAUCAUUAUUAUAACUGAUAUGUUUUGACCCAAUAUAAUUUGGUUAAAAGAGAUAGUUACCAUAGGGAUAACAGCAUAAUCUUUCUUGAGAGUUCUUAUCGAAAGGAGGGGUUGUGACCUCGAUGUUGGACUAAAAUAUCCUAAAAAUGUAGUAGUUUUUGAGGGUUGGUCUGUUCGACCAUUAAAAUUUUACAUGAUCUGAGUUCAGACCGGCGUAAGCCAGGUCAGUUUCUAUCUUUAAUUGUAAAUUUAAUUUUAGUACGAAAGGACCAAAUUAGAAGAAAAGAUAAAUCUAAUGUUUUGAAUUUAUAUAAUUUUGAUUUAAAUAUUAUUUA